GGGUGAACUCCGUGCCAGGAGGCGCUGUAAUACGGAGGUUUCAAGGUUUAUCCGGAAUCAGUGGGUUUAAAGGGUCCGUAGUCGGCCUUAUAAGUCAGCGGUGAAAGUUUUUGGCUUAACCAAAAAAUUGCCAUUGAUACUGUAGGGCUUGAAUAUUUGUGAAGUAACUAGAAUAUGUAGUGUAGCGGUGAAAUGCUUAGAUAUUACAUGGAAUACCAAUUGCGAAGGCAGGUUACUAACAAAUGAUUGACGCUGAUGGACGAAAGCGUGGGUAGCGAACAGGAUUAGAUACCCGGUAUC
RNAcentral lists this ribosomal RNA (300 nucleotides) under uncultured Methanothermobacter sp. Its description in RNAcentral is "bacterial SSU rRNA". It matches the Rfam family "Bacterial small subunit ribosomal RNA", at positions 494 to 794 of the family's 1533-position model. Lineage: Archaea; Methanobacteriati; Methanobacteriota; Methanobacteria; Methanobacteriales; Methanobacteriaceae. The record is from RNAcentral.